This 517-nucleotide ribosomal RNA is filed under the name uncultured fungus. Its description in RNAcentral is "SSU rRNA". It matches the Rfam family "Eukaryotic small subunit ribosomal RNA", at positions 209 to 726 of the family's 1831-position model. Lineage: Eukaryota; Fungi. The record is from RNAcentral.
AUUAGAUAAAAAACCAAUGCCCUUCGGGGCUUUCUGGUGAUUCAUAAUAACUAAACGAAUCGCAUGGCCUUGAGCCGGCGAUGGUUCAUUCAAAUUUCUGCCCUAUCAACUUUCGAUUGUAGGAUAGAGGCCUACAAUGGUUUCAACGGGUAACGGAGAAUUAGGGUUCGGUUCCGGAGAGGGAGCCUGAGAAACGGCUACCACAUCCAAGGAAGGCAGCAGGCGCGCAAAUUACCCAAUCCCGACACGGGGAGGUAGUGACAAUAAAUACUGAUACAGGGCUCUUUUGGGUCUUGUAAUUGGAAUGAGUACAAUUUAAAUCCCUUAACGAGGAACAAUUGGGGGGCAAGUCUGGUGCCAGCAGCCGCGGUAAUUCCAGCUCCAAUAGCGUAUAUUAAAGUUGUUGCAGUUAAAAAGCUCGUAGUUGAACCUUGGGUCUGGCUGGCCGGUCCGCCUCACCGCGUGCACUGGUCCGGCCGGACCUUUCCUCUUGGGGAUCCGCAUGCCCUUUACUGGG